This 195-nucleotide ribosomal RNA is filed under the name uncultured bacterium. RNAcentral describes it as "partial 16S ribosomal RNA". It matches the Rfam family "Bacterial small subunit ribosomal RNA", at positions 338 to 524 of the family's 1533-position model. The record is from RNAcentral.
CCUACGGGAGGCAGCAGUGGGGAAUAUUGGACAAUGGGGGCAACCCUGAUCCAGCAAUGCCGCGUGAGUGAAGAAGGCCUUCGGGUCGUAAAGCUCUGUGGGGAGGGACGAACAAGUCCGACAUUAACACUGCCGGGCCCUGACGGUACCUCCUUAGCAAGCACCGGCUAACCCCGUGCCAGCAGCCGCGGUAAU